AUUGAACGCUGGCGGCAUGCCUUACACAUGCAAGUCGAACGGCAGCACGGGAGCAAUCCUGGUGGCGAGUGGCGAACGGGUGAGUAAUAUAUCGGAACGUGCCCAGUCGUGGGGAUAACGUAGCGAAAGCUACGCUAAUACCGCAUACGAUCUAUGGAUGAAAGCGGGGGGAUCGGCAAGACCUCGCGCGAUUGGAGCGGCCGAUAUCAGAUUAGGUAGUUGGUGAGGUAAAGGCUCGCCAAGCCGACGAUCUGUAGCUGGUCUGAGAGGACGACCAGCCACACUGGGACUGAGACACGGCCCAGACUCCUACGGGAGGCAGCAGUGGGGAA
This 332-nucleotide ribosomal RNA is filed under the name uncultured bacterium. RNAcentral describes it as "bacterial SSU rRNA". It matches the Rfam family "Bacterial small subunit ribosomal RNA", at positions 30 to 361 of the family's 1533-position model. The record is from RNAcentral.